UGGCUCAGGACGAACGCUGGCGGCGUGCUUAACACAUGCAAGUCGAACGAUGAACCACUUCGGUGGGGAUUAGUGGCGAACGGGUGAGUAACACGUGGGCAAUCUGCCCUGCACUCUGGGACAAGCCCUGGAAACGGGGUCUAAUACCGGAUACUGAUCGCCUUGGGCAUCCUUGGUGAUCGAAAGCUCCGGCGGUGCAGGAUGAGCCCGCGGCCUAUCAGCUUGUUGGUGAGGUAAUGGCUCACCAAGGCGACGACGGGUAGCCGGCCUGAGAGGGCGACCGGCCACACUGGGACUGAGACACGGCCCAGACUCCUACGGGAGGCAGCAGUGGGGAAUAUUGCACAAUGGGCGAAAGCCUGAUGCAGCGACGCCGCGUGAGGGAUGACGGCCUUCGGGUUGUAAACCUCUUUCAGCAGGGAAGAAGCGAAAGUGACGGUACCUGCAGAAGAAGCGCCGGCUAACUACGUGCCAGCAGCCGCGGUAAUACGUAGGGCGCGAGCGUUGUCCGGAAUUAUUGGGCGUAAAGAGCUCGUAGGCGGCUUGUCGCGUCGGUUGUGAAAGCCCGGGGCUUAACCCCGGGUCUGCAGUCGAUACGGGCAGGCUAGAGUUCGGUAGGGGAGAUCGGANNCANCNGGUGUAGCGGUGAAAUGCGCAGAUAUCAGGAGGA
RNAcentral lists this ribosomal RNA (670 nucleotides) under Streptomyces cellulosae. Its description in RNAcentral is "bacterial SSU rRNA". It matches the Rfam family "Bacterial small subunit ribosomal RNA", at positions 20 to 705 of the family's 1533-position model. The record is from RNAcentral. Lineage: Bacteria; Bacillati; Actinomycetota; Actinomycetes; Kitasatosporales; Streptomycetaceae.